AGUGAACGCUGGCGGUAGGCCUAACACAUGCAAGUCGAACGGCAGCACAGUAAGAGCUUGCUCUUACGGGUGGCGAGUGGCGGGCGGGUGAGGAAUCCAUGGGAAGCAAUUUUUCCGUGGGGAAUAACGUAGGAAAAUUAACACUAAUACCGCAUACGACUUAUGGGUAAAAUACGGGAAACUUGGACCUUUGGCCGAUUGAAUGAGCCGAUGUCGGAUUAGCUAGUUGGCGGGGUAAGGGCCCACCAAGGCAAGGAGCCGUAGCUGGUCUGAGAGGAUAAUCAGCAACACUGGAACUGCGACACGGUCCAGACUCCUACGGGAGGCAGCAGUGGGGAAUAUUGGACAAUGGGCGAAAGCCUGAUCCAGCCAUACCGCGUGGGUGAAGAAGGCCUUCGGGUUGUAAAGCCCUUUUGUUGGGAAAGAAAAGCAGCAGGUUAAUACCCCGCUGUUCUGACGGUACCCAAAGAAUAAGCACCGGCUAACUUCGUG
Molecule: ribosomal RNA, 492 nt
Filed under: uncultured bacterium
Lineage: Bacteria
Description: partial 16S ribosomal RNA
Rfam family: Bacterial small subunit ribosomal RNA
Source: RNAcentral